This 329-nucleotide unclassified non-coding RNA is filed under the name soil metagenome. RNAcentral's name for it is "partial contains 5.8S ribosomal RNA, internal transcribed spacer 2, and large subunit ribosomal RNA". The stretch from base 1 to 120 matches the Rfam family "5.8S ribosomal RNA", at positions 35 to 154 of the family's 154-position model. The record is from RNAcentral.
GAUGAAGAACGCAGCGAAAUGCGAUAAGUAAUGUGAAUUGCAGAAUUCAGUGAAUCAUCGAAUCUUUGAACGCACAAUGCGCCCUCUGGUAUUCCGGGGGGCAUGCCUGUUCGAGCGUCAUUAUAACCACUCAAGCUCUCGCUUGGUAUUGGAGUUCGCGAUCUCGCGGCUCCUAAAAUCAGUGGCGGUGCCUGUCGGCUCUACGCGUAGUAAUACUCCUCGCGAUUGAGUCCGGUAGGUUUACUUGCCAGCAACCCCCAAUUUUUACAGGUUGACCUCGGAUCAGGUAGGGAUACCCGCUGAACUUAAGCAUAUCAAUAAGCGGAGGA